UUUUCCUUGACUGAAAUCGGAGUGCCAGAUACCAAUUUUUAGAGAUUAUCAUUUUAUUUGAAUUCCUGAAAUCAGAAGAACUUAUGAUGGAUGAUAUUCCCACUAUUUCUAGAGAGAUAACAAGCCCUGUCUUACCCAUAUUUAAUGAUUGUACAGGUGGUAUAUUGACUCCUC
Gordionus sp. m RMFG-2023 is the source of this 174-nucleotide long non-coding RNA. RefSeq lists it as uncharacterized. The record is from RefSeq and is a predicted model, not a curated record. NCBI's taxonomy places the organism in Eukaryota, Metazoa, Nematomorpha, Gordioida, Chordodea, Parachordodidae. The transcript has 3 exons.